RNAcentral lists this unclassified non-coding RNA (153 nucleotides) under uncultured Ascomycota. RNAcentral describes it as "sequence contains ITS1". Lineage: Eukaryota; Fungi; Ascomycota. The record is from RNAcentral.
CUGAGCGAGGGCGCCUCCCGCGCCCGACCUCCCACCCUUUGUCGAUUGAAACCUUUGUUGCCUCGGGGGCGACCGGCCCCUCGCGGGCGUCGGGCCCCCGACGGACCACUCAACUCUGCGUCUUUGCGUCGGAGUCUCAAGUAAAUUGAAUCA